GGGUCGGGAUAGGUGGGGAGCUCGGCGUACCCUGCAUCACAAAUCGUCGUUAUGGUGGACCGAACGCCUUGGGGCGGCGUAAGCGGCCGUGGGGUUCCCGUAGGCGGACGUUGAUGUCUCGCCCCCACAUGACUCGGGUGUCAUGAACCGUCUCCGGAAGGAAACGGGGAGUGAAUAACCGGGGGACUAGGUCAGGCCGGGAACGGAGCAGCCCUACCUGGGGCCAUGGGUGCUGUGGGGAUCCGGGAUGGAGGAAGCCUGCGGAUUUGGCCUUGCGAAGCGCACGUCCACCCUUGGCUCUCCCACCU
Molecule: signal recognition particle RNA, 308 nt
Filed under: Methanobacteriota archaeon
Lineage: Archaea; Methanobacteriati; Methanobacteriota
Description: Euryarchaeota archaeon signal recognition particle sRNA
Rfam family: Archaeal signal recognition particle RNA
Source: RNAcentral